This 651-nucleotide ribosomal RNA is filed under the name uncultured bacterium. RNAcentral's name for it is "bacterial SSU rRNA". It matches the Rfam family "Bacterial small subunit ribosomal RNA", at positions 614 to 1268 of the family's 1533-position model. The record is from RNAcentral.
CCUAGACCUGCAUCCGAUACGGGCUAGCUUGAGUUUGGUAGGGGAGACUGGAAUUCCUGGUGUAGCGGUGGAAUGCGCAGAUAUCAGGAGGAACACCAAUGGCGAAGGCAGGUCUCUGGGCCAAUACUGACACUGAGGAGCGAAAGUGUGGGGAGCGAACAGGAUUAGAUACCCUGGUAGUCCACACAGUAAACGAUGGGCACUAGUUGUGGGAACCUUCCACGGUUUCUGCGACGCAGCUAACGCAUUAAGUGCCCCGCCUGGGGAGUACGAUCGCAAGAUUAAAACUCAAAGGAAUUGACGGGGCCCCGCACAAGCAGCGGAGCAUGCGGCUUAAUUCGACGCAACGCGAAGAACCUUACCAAGGCUUGACAUAUACAGGAAUAUGGCAGAGAUGUCAUAGCCGCAAGGUCUGUAUACAGGUGGUGCAUGGUUGUCGUCAGCUCGUGUCGUGAGAUGUUGGGUUAAGUCCCGCAACGAGCGCAACCCUCGUUCUGUGUUGCCAGCAUUUAGUUGGGGACUCACAGGAGACUGCCGGGGUCAACUCGGAGGAAGGUGGGGAUGACGUCAAAUCAUCAUGCCCCUUAUGUCUUGGGCUGCACGCAUGCUACAAUGGCUGGUACAAAGGGCUGCAAUACUGCAAAGUGGAGC